UGGAUACCUAUGCAGGCAGACCUAUAGGACAACUGCUGGAAAAUUAAAGGGAUAUUUUUAUCCUAAGUUUACAAGUGGAUCCCUUCUGUUGGACUUCACUGAUACUUUGAAAAACUGAGGAAAUGCCAACCCAAUGAGCCAAGAAAUAUGAAUGAAAUAUAUAUCUACAUACUGGAGAAGAAUAUAAUUCAUUAGGUGGCCUAUAAUAAGGAAUCCCAAUAAACGCUAUCAUAUUCUGGGAAUAAUUUUCUUCAAGUUUUUUCAACUUGGUAAUAAAUAUUUUUC
Pseudophryne corroboree (corroboree frog) is the source of this 285-nucleotide long non-coding RNA. RefSeq lists it as uncharacterized. NCBI's taxonomy places the organism in Eukaryota, Metazoa, Chordata, Amphibia, Anura, Myobatrachidae. The record is from RefSeq and is a predicted model, not a curated record. The transcript has 3 exons.